This 484-nucleotide ribosomal RNA is filed under the name uncultured bacterium. RNAcentral describes it as "partial 16S ribosomal RNA". It matches the Rfam family "Bacterial small subunit ribosomal RNA", at positions 28 to 507 of the family's 1533-position model. The record is from RNAcentral.
AUUGAACGCUGGCGGCAUGCUUUACACAUGCAAGUCGAACGGCAGCGCGGGCUUCGGCCUGGCGGCGAGUGGCGAACGGGUGAGUAAUGCAUCGGAACGUGCCCAGUAGUGGGGGAUAGCCCGGCGAAAGCCGGAUUCAUACCGCAUACGACCUGAGGGUGAAAGCGGGGGACCGAAAGGCCUCGCGCUAUUGGGGCGGCCGAUGUCGGAUUAGCUAGUUGGUGGGGUAAAGGCUUACCAAGGCGACGAUCCGUAGCUGGUCUGAGAGGACGACCAGCCACACUGGGACUGAGACACGGCCCAGACUCCUACGGGAGGCAGCAGUGGGGAAUUUUGGACAAUGGGGGCAACCCUGAUCCAGCCAUGCCGCGUGCGGGAAGAAGGCCUUCGGGUUGUAAACCGCUUUUGUUCGGGAAGAAAUCCUCUGGGCUAAUACCCCGGGGGGAUGACGGUACCGGAAGAAUAAGCACCGGCUAACUACGUG